This 40-nucleotide transfer RNA is filed under the name Cotyledon orbiculata. Its description in RNAcentral is "partial trnF (GAA)". RNAcentral also lists the same sequence under 3 other names. The record is from RNAcentral. Lineage: Eukaryota; Viridiplantae; Streptophyta; Magnoliopsida; Saxifragales; Crassulaceae.
GCCGGGAUAGCUCAGCUGGUAGAGCAGAGGACUGAAAAUC